UGGGAGAUAACCUACUAAGUCCAGUUAGGAGCUUGGGUUUAAGGCCAUCCAGUGGAAUGUGGGAAACCUACCAGUGGCUAUAUCCUUAGUAAAGAAUGACUUCCUCUCUCCCAGGAGCUAUCCACUACCCGUGGUGACUCAGUGUGGAAUGGAAUCUGGACAUGCCUCCCCCCAUCACCACCUAUGCCAGAAUUUCAACUGGCAUGACCUUGUGCAGGCUCUCUCGGCAGUCUGAGAUGUGCCGGGACCCUGGAAGCUGAUCUGCCUGUGACAGCCCUACUUCCCCACCUAAUGGAUCACUGGGACUCUCCAUCCAACACCAACGAUUGUUCUUGUGAGCUCCAGGGAGUCAACUUGUCCACCUCGAACAACAUCUUGCCAGGUCUAAGUGGUGCCGGACAGUUCCACAGAGCCUGGACAGCGAAGUGAAAAAGCCAGCUACCCCAGGACAUGGUCAGCACCCUAGUUUUCUCAGGUUCCCCAAAGAUGAUCGAUGCCUCCCCAGGCCAGCAGGAAGCAGUCUCAAAAACACAGCACCCUUGUCCCCACCUCUUUCUAGCUCCUCACCUCUUUAUAAUAAAGAAAAGGGAGGUGUGUCAGCAUUUAAGCAUCUGCACUGGCCCGCCCUUGGGACCUGACAGGAUGUAACUUAGUGGCUGUGGCCACUAAGAGCACCCUCUGUGAGUAUUUGCUGUGUUUCCUUGUAAAAGGUGGGCCUUGUACACCUCCCAUCUCUUUUUCUCUUCCUUCACUCCCUCCCCAGGGAUAGA
Long non-coding RNA from Peromyscus californicus insignis, 770 nucleotides. RefSeq lists it as uncharacterized. NCBI's taxonomy places the organism in Eukaryota, Metazoa, Chordata, Mammalia, Rodentia, Cricetidae. The transcript is spliced from 3 exons. The record is from RefSeq and is a predicted model, not a curated record.